GUCUCAAAGAUUAAGCCAUGCRYGUCUAAGUAUAAGCAAUUAUACCGUGAAACUGCGAAUGGCUCAUUAAAUCAGUUAUCGUUUAUUUGAUAGUACCUUACUACUUGGAUAACCGUGGUAAUUCUAGAGCUAAUACAUGCUAAAAACCCCGACUUCGGAAGGGGUGUAUUUAUUAGAUAAAAAACCAAUGCCCUUCGGGGCUCUUUGGUGAUUCAUGAUAACUUCUCAGAUCGCAUGGCCUUGCGCCGGCGACGGUUCAUUCAAAUUUCUGCCCUAUCAACUUUCGAUGGUAAGGUAUUGGCUUACCAUGGUUUCAACGGGUAACGGGGAAUUAGGGUUCGAUUCCGGAGAGGGAGCCUGAGAAACGGCUACCACAUCCAAGGAAGGCAGCAGGCGCGCAAAUUACCCAAUCCCGACACGGGGAGGUAGUGACAAUAAAUACUGAUACAGGGCUCUUUUGGGUCUUGUAAUUGGAAUGAGUACAAUUUAAACCUCUUAACGAGGAACAAUUGGAGGGCAAGUCUGGUGCCAGCAGCCGCGGUAAUUCCAGCUCCAAUAGCGUAUAUUAAAGUUGUUGCAGUUAAAAAGCUCGUAGUUGAACCUUGGGCCUGGCUGGCAGGUCCGCCUCACCGCGUGUACUUGACCGGCCGGGCCUUCUCUUCUGGAGAACCUCAUGCCCUUUACUGGGCGUGUUGGGGACCAGGACUUUUACUUUGAAAAAAUUAGAGUGUUCAAAGCAGGCCUUUGCUCGAAUAUGUUAGCAUGGAAUAAUGGAAUAGGACGUGCGGUCCUAUUUUGUUGGUUUCUAGGACCGCCGUAAUGAUUAAUAGGGACAGUCGGGGGCAUCAGUAUUCAAUUGUCAGAGGUGAAAUUCUUGGAUUUAUUGAAGACUAACUACUGCGAAAGCAUUUGCCAAGGAUGUUUUCAUUAAUCAGUGAACGAAAGUUAGGGGAUCGAAGACGAUCAGAUACCGUCGUAGUCUUAACCAUAAACUAUGCCGACUAGGGAUCGGGCGAUGUUUCAAUAUUGACUCGCUCGGCACCUUACGAGAAAUCAAAGUGUUUGGGUUCUGGGGGGAGUAUGGUCGCAAGGCUGAWACUUAAAGGAU
This 1108-nucleotide ribosomal RNA is filed under the name Morosphaeriaceae sp. F80-1. RNAcentral describes it as "SSU rRNA". It matches the Rfam family "Eukaryotic small subunit ribosomal RNA", at positions 34 to 1163 of the family's 1831-position model. The record is from RNAcentral. Lineage: Eukaryota; Fungi; Ascomycota; Dothideomycetes; Pleosporales; Morosphaeriaceae.